RNAcentral lists this ribosomal RNA (497 nucleotides) under uncultured bacterium. RNAcentral's name for it is "partial 16S ribosomal RNA". It matches the Rfam family "Bacterial small subunit ribosomal RNA", at positions 28 to 507 of the family's 1533-position model. The record is from RNAcentral.
GACGAACGCUGGCGGCGUGCCUAAUACAUGCAAGUCGAGCGAUGAAGAUUGGUGCUUGCACCAAUUUGAAGAGCAGCGAACGGGUGAGUAACGCGUGGGGAAUCUGCCUUUGAGCGGGGGACAACAUUUGGAAACGAAUGCUAAUACCGCAUAACAACUUUAAACAUAAGUGUUAAGGUUGAAAGAUGCAAUUGCAGCACUCAAAGAUGAUCCCGCGUUGUAUUAGCUAGUUGGUGAGGUAAAGGAUCACCAAGGCGAUGAUACAUAGCCGACCUGAGAGGGUGUCCGGCCCCGUUGGGACUGAGACACGGCCCAAACUCCUACGGGAGGCAGCCGUAGGGAAUCUUCGGCGAUGGCCGAAAGUCUGACCGCGCAACGCCGCGUGAGUUAAGAAGGUUUUCGGGUCGUAAAACUCUGUUGGUAGAGAAGAACGUUGGUGAGAGUGGAAAGCUCAUCAAGUGACGGUACCUACCCAGAAAGGGACGGCUAACUACGUG